UUUUAGAUGUUAGUUUUCUGAACUAUAAUUUGUUGCAGACUGCUUAUUUGUGUAAAACAAACCAGAAUCACUUCUAGAAUACCAUACCAAUUGUUUUACUCUAUAAAAGGGAAGGGCUUCUGGUUAGGGGACAUAAUGUGUGUGUUUGUGUUAGUUAAGGAGGCACAUUUUAGUUGAUUUUCUUGCUAAUUUUUGAUUUCAGAUUACUAUAUAUGGUGUUUAGAAUCAAAUGAACAUACAGAAUCUAAACCUUCAAACUCAAUCUAAAAUUCUCAAGGUUCUGUGUAUACUAAAGAAAGAGGGCUAUCUACUAGGAUGACCAAGGUUCAUCAAUAAAUUUGCAGUUUCAUUGUUGUUUAAUAGAUGUGUUAUAUCAUUGCCAAAUUUGAACAAAUAAAGGUAUUCAAGAAAUUAGAACAACAAGAUAUCAUCAUCAAUGUACCUGUGAAUUUUAUUUAAUUUGGUUGCUUUGCAUAUCCUUGCAGGUACAACGAGAUAUUUGACGACAUCAUUUUGGCUAACGAUGUCGACUCACUUCUCAGGUUAGUUAGUUAAUUAAUCAAUAGGGUUUGUGUUGGUUUUUUUUUUAGAGCAAAAGGUAGUGAAACUUAUGCAUCAUACUAUUCUUGAACUCUUGUUGUAUCCUUUUUCACCUAUACUCCUGGUUUUGCACCUACAGUUUCGUUAUGGCAAGUGACAAGAUCAUGGAAUGAAAGAUUGUUCUAGAGUACUUUGGGAGAGUUACUGAUAGAAAGACAAGUGAUCAAUCGGGGAUUGUUUUUGAAACUCAGGUUCCUCUUUCGCUUCCUCUUUUAAUUCUUUUUCAUCAAGUUCUAUUGUUUUGUGACUUAGCAUUAUGUGA
Molecule: long non-coding RNA, 862 nt
Filed under: Medicago truncatula (barrel medic)
Lineage: Eukaryota; Viridiplantae; Streptophyta; Magnoliopsida; Fabales; Fabaceae
Description: lncRNA gene50675
Source: RNAcentral